RNAcentral lists this transfer RNA (67 nucleotides) under Tagasta indica. RNAcentral's name for it is "tRNA-Tyr". It matches the Rfam family "tRNA". From Rfam's summary of the family: Transfer RNA (tRNA) molecules are approximately 80 nucleotides in length. Their secondary structure includes four short double-helical elements and three loops (D, anti-codon, and T loops). Further hydrogen bonds mediate the characteristic L-shaped molecular structure. tRNAs have two regions of fundamental functional importance: the anti-codon, which is responsible for specific mRNA codon recognition, and the 3' end, to which the tRNAs corresponding amino acid is attached (by aminoacyl-tRNA synthetases). tRNAs cope with the degeneracy of the genetic code in two manners: having more than one tRNA (with a specific anti-codon) for a particular amino acid; and 'wobble' base-pairing, i.e. permitting non-standard base-pairing at the 3rd anti-codon position. Lineage: Eukaryota; Metazoa; Arthropoda; Insecta; Orthoptera; Pyrgomorphidae. The record is from RNAcentral.
AGUGAAGUGGCUGAAAUUAAGGUGAUAGACUGUAAAUCUAUUUAUGAGAUUGAUGUCUCCUUUACUA